Molecule: ribosomal RNA, 391 nt
Filed under: Staphylococcus aureus
Lineage: Bacteria; Bacillati; Bacillota; Bacilli; Caryophanales; Staphylococcaceae
Description: partial 23S ribosomal RNA
Rfam family: Bacterial large subunit ribosomal RNA
Source: RNAcentral
AAGUGAGAAUGCCGGUGUGAGUAGCGAAAGACGGGUGAGAAUCCCGUCCACCGAUUGACUAAGGUUUCCAGAGGAAGGCUCGUCCGCUCUGGGUUAGUCGGGUCCUAAGCUGAGGCCGACAGGCGUAGGCGAUGGAUAACAGGUUGAUAUUCCUGUACCACCUAUAAUCGUUUUAAUCGAUGGGGGGACGCAGUAGGAUAGGCGAAGCGUGCGAUUGGAUUGCACGUCUAAGCAGUAAGGCUGAGUAUUAGGCAAAUCCGGUACUCGUUAAGGCUGAGCUGUGAUGGGGAGAAGACAUUGUGUCUUCGAGUCGUUGAUUUCACACUGCCGAGAAAAGCCUCUAGAUAGAAAAUAGGUGCCCGUACCGCAAACCGACACAGGUAGUCAAGAU